Drosophila melanogaster (fruit fly) is the source of this 693-nucleotide non-coding RNA. The record is from Ensembl. NCBI's taxonomy places the organism in Eukaryota, Metazoa, Arthropoda, Insecta, Diptera, Drosophilidae.
AUUCGCGGCCUGGUCACACUAAGCUAGGGCUACUUUUUAUAUCAUAAGUCGAGCGUUUAGACACUGAAAAGACACGUUUGCAAAGUUCGGGGUGUUUAGAAUCCAUCCACUUGGUACAGUUCCCAUCGAGCUGGUGAGUACUCCGCGCAGUGCAACGUAUACACACUUGAACUCGAAUUCUGGCAGCAAAAUGGUGGUGACCUAUUAAUAACACCCGCUCAAUUUUCCCUCGCUUUUCCAUUCAGUCUCCAACUAGCUGCAAGUAGCUCGGAUGGCCAUCGAAAGGGUAAAUUGGUGUUACAUAUAGCUUUAGAGAUCGUUUCGAAUCACAUUGAUAAUCGUUCGAAACGUUCUCCGAAGCAAAAUCAAGCAAGAGUAACGAUUUCCGCAUAGUCGAAAAUGUUUAAGUUGAAUUGUCUUACGGACAGUGAGAUGAGUACGACUAUUUGGAAAUCACAAACGAAUUGUUUUCAUGGUUGACGCGCUUGUCAAGCUACAAAACAAAAUGAAUGAUAUACAAUAUACAAUAUACAAUAUGCAAUACAAUACAAUACAAGACAAAAAAAUGUGUCUUGGAACGCAACAUUGUACAAGUCGCAAUGCAAACUGAAGUCUUAAAAGACGUGUAAAAUGUUGCAAAUUAAGCAAAUAUAUAUGCAUAUAUGGGUAACGUUUUACGCGCCUUAACCAGUC